GGGUUGUGAGGUUAAGCGACUAAGCGUACACGGUGGAUGCCCUGGCAGUCAGAGGCGAUGAAGGGCGUGCUAAUCUGCGAUAAGCGCCGGUAAGGUGAUAUGAACCGUUAUAACCGGCGAUACCCGAAUGGGGAAACCCAGUGUGACUCGUCACACUAUCAUUAACUGAAUCCAUAGGUUAAUGAGGCGAACCGGGGGAACUGAAACAUCUAAGUACCCCGAGGAAAAGAAAUCAACCGAGAUUCCCCCAGUAGCGGCGAGCGAACGGGGAGGAGCCCAGAGCCUGAAUCAGCAUGUGUGUUAGUGGAAGCGUCUGGAAAGGCGCGCGAUACAGGGUGACAGCCCCGUACACAAAAGCGCAUGUGCUGUGAGCUCGAUGAGUAGGGCGGGACACGUGGUAUCCUGUCUGAAUAUGGGGGGACCAUCCUCCAAGGCUAAAUACUCCUGACUGACCGAUAGUGAACCAGUACCGUGAGGGAAAGGCGAAAAGAACCCCGGCGAGGGGAGUGAAAAAGAACCUGAAACCGUGUACGUACAAGCAGUGGGAGCACCCUUUGGGUGUGACUGCGUACCUUUUGUAUAAUGGGUCAGCGACUUAUAUUCUGUAGCAAGGUUAACCGAAUAGGGGAGCCGGAGGGAAACCGAGUCUUAAUUGGGCGUUAAGUUGCAGGGUAUAGACCCGAAACCCGGUGAUCUAGCCAUGGGCAGGUUGAAGGUUGGGUAACACUAACUGGAGGACCGAACCGACUAAUGUUGAAAAAUUAGCGGAUGACCUGUGGCUGGGGGUGAAAGGCCAAUCAAACCGGGAGAUAGCUGGUUCUCCCCGAAAGCUAUUUAGGUAGCGCCUCGUGAAUUCAUCUCCGGGGGUAGAGCACUGUUUCGGCUAGGGGGCCAUCCCGGCUUACCAACCCGAUGCAAACUGCGAAUACCGGAGAAUGUUAUCACGGGAGACACACGGCGGGUGCUAACGUCCGUCGUGAAGAGGGAAACAACCCAGACCGCCAGCUAAGGUCCCAAAGUCAUGGUUAAGUGGGAAACGAUGUGGGAAGGCCCAGACAGCCAGGAUGUUGGCUUAGAAGCAGCCAUCAUUUAAAGAAAGCGUAAUAGCUCACUGGUCGAGUCGGCCUGCGCGGAAGAUGUAACGGGGCUAAACCAUGCACCGAAGCUGCGGCAGCGACACUGUGUGUUGUUGGGUAGGGGAGCGUUCUGUAAGCCUGUGAAGGUGUGUCGUGAGGCAUGCUGGAGGUAUCAGAAGUGCGAAUGCUGACAUAAGUAACGAUAAAGCGGGUGAAAAGCCCGCUCGCCGGAAGACCAAGGGUUCCUGUCCAACGUUAAUCGGGGCAGGGUGAGUCGACCCCUAAGGCGAGGCCGAAAGGCGUAGUCGAUGGGAAACGGGUUAAUAUUCCCGUACUUGGUGUUACUGCGAAGGGGGGACGGAGAAGGCUAUGUUGGCCGGGCGACGGUUGUCCCGGUUUAAGCGUGUAGGUGUGUGUUCCAGGUAAAUCCGGUUCACUUUAACACUGAGGCGUGACGACGAGGCACUACGGUGCUGAAGCAACAAAUGCCCUGCUUCCAGGAAAAGCCUCUAAGCAUCAGGUAACAUCAAAUCGUACCCCAAACCGACACAGGUGGUCAGGUAGAGAAUACCAAGGCGCUUGAGAGAACUCGGGUGAAGGAACUAGGCAAAAUGGUGCCGUAACUUCGGGAGAAGGCACGCUGACACGUAGGUGAAGUGAUUUACUCAUGGAGCUGAAGUCAGUCGAAGAUACCAGCUGGCUGCAACUGUUUAUUAAAAACACAGCACUGUGCAAACACGAAAGUGGACGUAUACGGUGUGACGCCUGCCCGGUGCCGGAAGGUUAAUUGAUGGGGUCAGCGCAAGCGAAGCUCCUGAUCGAAGCCCCGGUAAACGGCGGCCGUAACUAUAACGGUCCUAAGGUAGCGAAAUUCCUUGUCGGGUAAGUUCCGACCUGCACGAAUGGCGUAAUGAUGGCCAGGCUGUCUCCACCCGAGACUCAGUGAAAUUGAACUCGCUGUGAAGAUGCAGUGUACCCGCGGCAAGACGGAAAGACCCCGUGAACCUUUACUAUAGCUUGACACUGAACAUUGAGCCUUGAUGUGUAGGAUAGGUGGGAGGCUUUGAAGUGUGGACGCCAGUCUGCAUGGAGCCGACCUUGAAAUACCACCCUUUAAUGUUUGAUGUUCUAACGUGGACCCGUUACCCGGGUUGCGGACAGUGUCUGGUGGGUAGUUUGACUGGGGCGGUCUCCUCCUAAAGAGUAACGGAGGAGCACGAAGGUUGGCUAAUCCUGGUCGGACAUCAGGAGGUUAGUGCAAUGGCAUAAGCCAGCUUGACUGCGAGCGUGACGGCGCGAGCAGGUGCGAAAGCAGGUCAUAGUGAUCCGGUGGUUCUGAAUGGAAGGGCCAUCGCUCAACGGAUAAAAGGUACUCCGGGGAUAACAGGCUGAUACCGCCCAAGAGUUCAUAUCGACGGCGGUGUUUGGCACCUCGAUGUCGGCUCAUCACAUCCUGGGGCUGAAGUAGGUCCCAAGGGUAUGGCUGUUCGCCAUUUAAAGUGGUACGCGAGCUGGGUUUAGAACGUCGUGAGACAGUUCGGUCCCUAUCUGCCGUGGGCGCUGGAGAACUGAGGGGGGCUGCUCCUAGUACGAGAGGACCGGAGUGGACGCAUCACUGGUGUUCGGGUUGUCAUGCCAAUGGCACUGCCCGGUAGCUAAAUGCGGAAGAGAUAAGUGCUGAAAGCAUCUAAGCACGAAACUUGCCCCGAGAUGAGUUCUCCCUGAGACUUAAAGUCUCCUGAAGGAACGUUGAAGACGACGACGUUGAUAGGCCGGGUGUGUAAGCGCAGCGAUGCGUUGAGCUAACCGGUACUAAUGAACCGUGAGGCUUAACCUUACAACGCCGAAG
This 2925-nucleotide ribosomal RNA is filed under the name Salmonella enterica subsp. enterica. RNAcentral describes it as "bacterial LSU rRNA". It matches the Rfam family "Bacterial large subunit ribosomal RNA". RNAcentral also lists the same sequence under 3 other names. Lineage: Bacteria; Pseudomonadati; Pseudomonadota; Gammaproteobacteria; Enterobacterales; Enterobacteriaceae. The record is from RNAcentral.